CAUUGGUUAUGAGGAAAAACGAACAGCACAAAUAUGAGGAGGCCGUUUAACAGAACCAGUCGGUGCAUCCACGAUAUAUGCUCAUCUAAGAAUUCUCUCUUCGAAAGGAUUUCCUUCUGCAAGCCUCACUGCAAGUAAAGACCUCAUAACAGCGUUUGCAGGGUGACAGCUGGACACCAACAGAACGUCCACACUGAUAGCAGUACUUAAAGAUGGGCAGCCUGGAACAAAGCACAUACACGAAUGGCUGAAUCCACUACAACAACAUGACAGAGAGGAGACCAAAAUCAGCGUUCCAACUACAGAAAUAGAGCAUUAGUCACAAAAUCAACCUCUGUUAAAAAUUUGGGGCACCACACACUACUUGGUGAACUGUCCACUGUAUAAAUCUUGAAGACACUGAAUACAAAGCAUCUCUUGUUAGUGAAUCAUAGAAUUAUUAAAGUUGGAAAAGACCCUGAAGAUCAUCAAGUCCAACCAUCCAAUUAAACUACUAAGUCCAUCACUAACCAUGUCCUGAACAUCACUGCACUGUUAAUAAUACCUCCAAGCAGAGCGACUCCACCACUUCCUCAGGCAGCCUGAUCCAAUGCUUGAUUAUCCCUUAUGUGAAGAAAUUCUUCUUGUUCUCCUACUUAAACCAACCCUGGCACAACUUGAGCCUAUUUCCUUUGCAUCCUAUCACUGUGUGGGAACAGAGAUGAACCCCUGACUCACCACAACCUCCUUUCAUGGAGUUGUACAGAGCCAUAAGGUCUCCCCUGAGCCUCCUUUUCUUCAAACUGACCCAUUCCAGCUCUCAGCCAUUGCCCAUAGAUCUGUGCUCCAGAACCCUCACAGCUCCAUUGCCUGUUUCUGGACGUGCUCCAGGGCCUCAACGUCUUUCUUGUAGUGAGGGGCCCAAAACUGAACACAGUACUCAAGGCGCAGCCUCACCAGCGCUGAGUACAGAGGACACCUGGGCACACUGCUGUCUCACGUUCAGCCCCAGAUCCUUUUCCUCCAUGCAGCUUUCCAACCACUCUGCCCAAAGCCUGUAGCGAUGCAUGGGGUUGUUGUGGCCAAAGUGCAGGAUGUGGCACUUGCUCCUGUUCAACUUCAUCCCACUGGCCUCAGCCCAGCAAUCAGCCUGUCCCGAUCUCCCUGUAGGGCCUUAUCUGCAAAGUUUGUUACUGCAAAGGUAACAAUCUGAUAUUCAGAUGUCACUUUUCAAGUGUGAUACAUCUGCCUCAAAGACUGGUAUCAGGAGCUUAUAAGCCUCAGGAAGCAUUUGAGAACUACUGAGGAAGACCAUUUAGAUCAUCUUAACUUGUAUAAAUUCAUUGUCACUAAUUAACACAUUAAUUAGAGCAUUAGCACAAAAGAGAUGCUAGGAAAGCAAGCUCCCUCAACCACUCAUUAAUAAAUGGUAAUAGAUCUUCUGUAGGAAUCUACCAGGUAGCAACAGACAGUCACUAAGCUCAUACUGAAAUUUCUUCCUCCGUGCCUUUUUUGCUCCCUUUGGUGUUUGCAGGAACCCCAAACAUUCUCCUUACCAAAUAU
This is a long non-coding RNA of Lagopus muta (rock ptarmigan), 1542 nucleotides long. RefSeq lists it as uncharacterized. The record is from RefSeq and is a predicted model, not a curated record. Lineage: Eukaryota; Metazoa; Chordata; Aves; Galliformes; Phasianidae. The transcript is spliced from 3 exons.